RNAcentral lists this ribosomal RNA (656 nucleotides) under Pseudomonas sp. RNAcentral's name for it is "bacterial SSU rRNA". It matches the Rfam family "Bacterial small subunit ribosomal RNA", at positions 65 to 713 of the family's 1533-position model. The record is from RNAcentral. Lineage: Bacteria; Pseudomonadati; Pseudomonadota; Gammaproteobacteria; Pseudomonadales; Pseudomonadaceae.
GGCAGCACAGAGGAGCUUGCUCCUUGGGUGGCGAGUGGCGGACGGGUGAGGAAUACAUCGGAAUCUACUCUGUCGUGGGGGAUAACGUAGGGAAACUUACGCUAAUACCGCAUACGACCUACGGGUGAAAGCAGGGGAUCUUCGGACCUUGCGCGAUUGAAUGAGCCGAUGUCGGAUUAGCUAGUUGGCGGGGUAAAGGCCCACCAAGGCGACGAUCCGUAGCUGGUCUGAGAGGAUGAUCAGCCACACUGGAACUGAGACACGGUCCAGACUCCUACGGGAGGCAGCAGUGGGGAAUAUUGGACAAUGGGCGCAAGCCUGAUCCAGCCAUACCGCGUGGGUGAAGAAGGCCUUCGGGUUGUAAAGCCCUUUUGUUGGGAAAGAAAUCCAGCUGGCUAAUACCCGGUUGGGAUGACGGUACCCAAAGAAUAAGCACCGGCUAACUUCGUGCCAGCAGCCGCGGUAAUACGAAGGGUGCAAGCGUUACUCGGAAUUACUGGGCGUAAAGCGUGCGUAGGUGGUCGUUUAAGUCCGUUGUGAAAGCCCUGGGCUCAACCUGGGAACUGCAGUGGAUACUGGGCGACUAGAGUGUGGUAGAGGGUAGCGGAAUUCCUGGUGUAGCAGUGAAAUGCGUAGAGAUCAGGAGGAACAUCCAU